Molecule: transfer RNA, 69 nt
Filed under: Anolis marron
Lineage: Eukaryota; Metazoa; Chordata; Lepidosauria; Squamata; Anolidae
Description: tRNA-Tyr
Rfam family: tRNA
About the family: Transfer RNA (tRNA) molecules are approximately 80 nucleotides in length. Their secondary structure includes four short double-helical elements and three loops (D, anti-codon, and T loops).
Source: RNAcentral
GGUAAAGUGGCCGAAGUUUAGGCGGUAGGCUGUAAACCUACCCAUAUUGGUUUAGUCCUUUCUUUAUCA